GCAAGGCUAAAACUCAAAGGAAUUGACGGGGCCCCGCACAAGCAGUGGAGCAUGUGGUUUAAUUCGAUGCUACGCGAAGAACCUUACCUGGGCUUGACAUCCUUGGAACCCCCUUGAAAGAGGGGGGUGCCUUCGGGAGCCAAGUGACAGGUGCUGCAUGGCUGUCGUCAGCUCGUGUCGUGAGAUGUUGGGUUAAGUCCCGCAACGAGCGCAACCCUCGUCGUUAGUUGCCAGCAUUAAGUUGGGGACUCUAGCGAGACCGCCGGACAAACCGGAGGAAGGUGAGGAUGACGUCAAGUCAGCAUGGCCUUUAUGCCCAGGGCUCCCCACAUGCUACAAUGGUCGGUACAACGGGAUGCAAAAGAUAAGAUCUCGAGCUAAUCCCUUAAAGACGGUCUCAGUUCCCAUUGCUAGGCUGCGAAACGCCUCCAUGAAGUUGAGAAUUGCUAGU
Molecule: ribosomal RNA, 451 nt
Filed under: uncultured bacterium
Lineage: Bacteria
Description: bacterial SSU rRNA
Rfam family: Bacterial small subunit ribosomal RNA
Source: RNAcentral